GAUGAACGCUGGCGGCGUGCUUAACACAUGCAAGUCGAACGGAAAGGCCCUGCUUUUGUGGGGUGCUCGAGUGGCGAACGGGUGAGUAACACGUGAGUAACCUGCCCUUGACUUUGGGAUAACUUCAGGAAACUGGGGCUAAUACCGGAUAGGAGCUCCUGCUGCAUGGUGGGGGUUGGAAAGUUUCGGCGGUUGGGGAUGGACUCGCGGCUUAUCAGCUUGUUGGUGGGGUAGUGGCUUACCAAGGCUUUGACGGGUAGCCGGCCUGAGAGGGUGACCGGCCACAUUGGGACUGAGAUACGGCCCAGACUCCUACGGGAGGCAGCAGUGGGGAAUAUUGCACAAUGGGCGGAAGCCUGAUGCAGCAACGCCGCGUGCGGGAUGACGGCCUUCGGGUUGUAAACCGCUUUCUCCUGUGACGAAGCGUGAGUGACGGUAAUGGGUAAAGAAGCACCGGCUAACUACGUG
RNAcentral lists this ribosomal RNA (468 nucleotides) under uncultured bacterium. RNAcentral describes it as "partial 16S ribosomal RNA". It matches the Rfam family "Bacterial small subunit ribosomal RNA", at positions 28 to 507 of the family's 1533-position model. The record is from RNAcentral.